RNAcentral lists this ribosomal RNA (449 nucleotides) under uncultured bacterium. Its description in RNAcentral is "partial 16S ribosomal RNA". It matches the Rfam family "Bacterial small subunit ribosomal RNA", at positions 354 to 796 of the family's 1533-position model. The record is from RNAcentral.
GUCGAGAAUCUUUCACAAUGGGGGCAACCCUGAUGGAGCGACGCCGCGUGGAGGAUAAGGUCUUCGGAUUGUAAACUCCUGUCAUGCGUGAACAAGGUUGCUUGGUUAAUACCUGGGCAAAUUGAUGGUAACGCAAGAGGAAGAGACGGCUAACUCUGUGCCAGCAGCCGCGGUAAUACAGAGGUCUCAAGCGUUGUUCGGAAUCACUGGGCGUAAAGGGUGCGUAGGUGGCGUGGUAAGUCAGAUGUGAAAGCCCGGGGCUCAACCUCGGAACUGCAUCCGAUACUGCCAUGCUAGAGUACUGGAGAGGUGACUAGAAUUCUCGGUGUAGCAGUGAAAUGCGUAGAUAUCGAGAGGAAUACCAAAGGCGUAGGCAGGUCACUGGACAGUUACUGACACUGAGGUACGAAGGCCAGGGAAGCGAACGGGAUUAGAUACCCCUGUAGUCC